UGCUGUGCAGAGGUGUGCAAAAGCCUCACCAAGACAGCAUUGGCAGAAUCAAAUUGGCAAAGCUCAUCAGGCGUUCUUCUGGGACACUGCCUCAGGCCACUGGUCUGCUGCACUUACACCCAUGCUCUGCUCGCUCAGAGAACAAGGUUGCUUGUUAGCCCAUUCAAUGCUUGUAACUUGAUGAUUUUCCCCUCAUUGGAAAUGUGUUUUUUUCUUGGCACUGGCAGAUUGGAGCCUCGUUCAGAUACCUCACGUUAUUGUGCAGCAGUACAAGGCCAGUUCCUGGGGUGCAGCUACAGAUGAAGUGUAUUAAGGCAGUUUUGAGCUCCAUGCACUCAUAAACUGGAAAUUCAGCAAGACUUACAUUACCACUUACUGUCUCUGUUAACCCAGUACCAGAUCUUUAACUGGAACAGGUUACAUUGUACUGCAUGUAGUAAAGAGCAGUAUAAAGGCAUGGCUCCAACAUCCAAGAACUUUUGAACCUCUGCUGGUUUUAUCACUGAGAGAGAUUGGAAGGUUCAUCUAUGGCUAUGAAGCUUUACAAGAAAAUCUUUACACAACACAUGCCAAUGAUUGAGAACCAACUUCAAUAUCAAAAGUGGCAAUCCUCUGAGAAAGGAGAGAGUGGGUGGGAGCAUGGAUUUGCAAAAGAAGAAACAUGCCUGAUCUGUCUUCUAGAACAAUCUUUCUGGAUUUCAAUAGGGCUUUUAGUGCUACCUCCCACAGCAUCCUUCUGGACAAAUUGUUCUACUGUGAGAUGAACAGGUUCACGCUGUGCUCAGUGAUGAACUGGCUGAACUGAAGAUCUCAAAUGUGGCUACAUCUGACUGGCAGAUGUGCUCUGAGUUGUUCCCAAGAACUUAAUUCUAGGGCCUGUACUUUUCGAGAUUUCAGUCAGUGAUAUGGGUGCAGGAGUGAAGAGCACCCUCAACAAGUUUGCUGGUGAUACUGAACUGGAAGAUGCUGUUGUUCUCCUGGUGAAAUGAGAAAUGUUGUAGAGGGAUCUAGAGUGGGGCUCUUUUUCAGUUGUGACGUGAAGUUCAGCAAAGGAAAAUUCAGAGUGCUGCAGUUAGGAUGGACUAACACAGGACUUGGAGAUAGGUGGCUGGAGAGCAGCUCAGCAGGAAGGAACCUAGGGGUGCUGGUGCCAGUGGCCUCAGAAUGAGCCAGCAGCGUGCCCUGGCAGCCACAAGGCAAACCACAUUGUGGGAUGCAUUAAAACAGAACAGCCAGUCAAAAUUUACUCUCCACUGUGUUUAGCAUUGGAACAGUUUCACACUGAAUAUUGUGUAUAGUUCUUUUUUCCACCAUAUAAAUAGGUUAGGGUCUUUGAAAGCACCCAGAGGAGAACAACACAGCUGCCAACAAGAUAGGAAGGCACGUGUCCUGUGACAAGAGGCUGAGGACACUCCGUUUAACUCAGUCUGGAGGAGGCUGAGAGGACCUCAGUGCCCCCUGCUGCUCCCUGAGGAUGGGAAGCAGUGGUGGUACUGGGCUCUGCUCCUGGGAACUGAUGGCAGAACAGGAACAGCACAGAGCUGCCAGUGGAGAGUCAGGCUGGGAAAUGGGAAACAUUUCUGUGAUGUGAAGGUGGUCUGCCUCUGGGGUAGGCUUCAUAGAGAGCUGUCUGAUGCCCAGUGCCUGUCAGUGUUCAGGAGGCAUAUGGACAAUGCCCUCAACAAUACAGUUUAACUUUUGGUGAGCCCCAGAGAGAUUGGGCAGUUGGGCUGAAUAAUUUUCGAGGGUUUCUUCCAGUGGAACUAUUCUAUUCUAUUCUAGGAUAAAAUGAUCUGUUCUAUGGACAAAUGUUGUUUACCUUGUUUACUUAAGUAAGCUUUUCAAAACUGUCUUCUACAAUAUUUUUCUAUCCAAACUGGAACAUUGCAACUGGAAUGGGUGCACAAAGAGAUGGAUAAAAAAGUGUUUGGAUACUUGGACUGCAAGAGUUGUGUUCAGUGUGUUGUUCUUUACCUGGCAGUGGUAACAAGUACAAUACUACAGGGUCUAACCUGUGACAAGUCCUGUUCAAAACCAGGACAGCUAUCAAGGACAGCAGGUCUACAGUGCUCCUGUAAUUAUUUUUGGCGCUGAACAGAAACACCAUGAAUGGCUUCAGCUAUGUGUUAGCUUUCCUAGUAGAAUAAUAAUCUGUGCAUUGAUGCUUUUUUUUCUAAAUAAUGGAGAUUCUCUUGUUUGUGGACUUUGUGACAUAUUCAAAUUAAAUUUGAGGCCAUCUGGAGAAUAAUGUAUGAUAUGGCUCAGGAGACCUUACUUGCCUGAUACUGUUAUCAGUGAACUAUCUAAGGAUGGAGACUUUGAGGUAGGUGUUUCCUCAGAGUGAGAGUCCUGUUAGGAUAAAAACCUGUAGAGGGAAAUUAUAUCUCCAGGUGUGGAUGAGAACAGGGCGUGUUUAGGUCCAAAGUAUAUCAGUACAAAUCUGGUAGAGUUGCUUUCAAGUGAUAUAAGAUGCUAUUGUACAGCAUUAAUUAUAUGAGAAUACUAUUCUGGGACAUAAAGAGAAGUAAGUAUAUGUAAAAUAAAAAUAUAAGAAAGAUGAGUAUUGAGAGAACGAAUGGCAGCUGUGUAUUUCACAGAAAAAGUCAAGAUGAAGGUCUCAGAUGGGCUUUGACUGUGGUAUACAGGCAUACAUUCCUUUCAUAUGUUUUUAACUUAAUGUAUAUGCUUUUUUUUUUUUUUUUUUUUUUUUUUUUUUUUUUUCCCCUUGUAUUGAAAUCCAGACACUAUUGUAAAGUAUGCUGCUUGAAAUCCAGUGUAGCUAGAUGCACUGGUUUCACUAUUUUGGAUCAGAGCAGGACAGGACAGGAAAGUUGUAUUCAGGUGUAACAGAGAUCUCCAGACCCUCGAAAAAGACAGAGCGAAACAAAACAGGGAAUCUAGCACAGCCUACAUAAGUGGUAAAAAGUAAGUCUUUUUAAAAUGCAGUUUUUAAUAAUACAAUGAUAUUUGUAGAAAUCUGAGUGAAUAAUACUGAUAGUUGUUUUAUUGACAUGAAACAUCAGUCUACUUUUCACUAGGUAGGAGAUUUACUGACAUUUGCCUCUAAACUCAUAACUACACACAAUUCUGUGAUUCUGUGAUUCUGUGAUAACUAGAAGUUUAAUGAGAUGAGACAGACAUCACAAAUAAAAGAGAAGCUAUUCUUGGUGAGUCACUUGCACAACUGGUGGGAAUUCUGUUUUUCAAAAUGAAUUUGUUUGUUACCUGCUUAUGACAGAUCUGUCCACCAUAUAUAGACAAUUUCAGAAGGAAAACAGCAAGACACAGCACUUCCAAAAUGCCCUAACUUGUGCUUGAGUUGGUGAAAAUUAAAAAUAUAGCAGAAUACUGGAGCUCAGUAUAAACAGCUCAGGGUCCUGGAAGUCAGUAUCACCUUGUAAGAAAAAACACACGUUGCAAAAGUUGAAUUUGGGCAGUUGCAAUUGAAAUGGCUGUGGGAAACAUUUCAUAUAAAAUCCACACUGCUUGAGAAUACAAACUUUGCAAAUACAUUUUACGCAUCCAACCAAAUGAGUUUUUAGUAGGUAGGUUCUGUGUAAUAUAAGUUGAAUGUCAACAGGCAGAUGUCUACACUAAUGAAAACACUCUGGAUACAUAUGUGUUGUAGAUAUAAUAAAUAAGAAUGAUAAAGUUUUGUUAUUACAUGCCAAAUCCCUGUUCUUGCAUAAGUUUUCAACAAAGUAUGUGUAAAUAAUGAAACCAUAAGAACAUUUGAUUUUCACAAUGACUUUAUUUCAAUGAAACAGCUUACAAGUGCUCUCUACAAAAGGAGGUAUUUAGUGUAUAUUGGCACUGAGCAGAUGUUUAAUACUGAUCUCUUCAAACAUUCAUGAAAACAGAUUUCGUACUUGUUCAGUCCUUUCAUCAUUACUUAAUUAAUACAUGGUGCUUUGUAAUAAAAAAAGGAAAGGAACUUAGUUACAUUUUUUAAAUUUUAUGUCAUAUCAGAUGGGUAGGACUGGGACUUAGAUUUGUUCUUCACUAUAGUUUUCUUCUUUCUUGAGUCAUGGUCACAAGCAGUUGUGAUGGCUAAAUAUGGGUAACCCUGCUGUCCAGCCUUGGUAGUGCAUCAGCGCAAAGUACAGUUGUCUUCAGAACAAAGAAGAAGAGAGCCAAGAUUUUGUUUCUUCCAAGAGACUGAGAACAUGGAAAGGAAGAAGGAAUCAUCCUACAUUACACAGUUUUCUUGUCUUUUCUAUUUAAUGGAAGAAGCUGGAGAAUGACCUCAGGGUCUUUCACUGCAUUAGGGAACAUCCUAGACUGGGAUCAUACACCAAGCCACAAGGCUCUUAUUUCCGUUCUGAGAGAGCACAAAGCAACCAGUCUUCACUGGAUAUUCAUGCCAGGAAUUGUCUCAUUGCCCUGGUAUGCAAGUAUCACCUAGUUUUAUAGCAUCAUCAGAAUAACAUCACCAAGCUGUUUCUUUCUGCAGGAUGACAGUUUUUUUCCAAGAUUUCAAAUAAUGAAAAAGCAAUUGUGAGCCAUGUUUUCAUGUCAAAGCAUUUAUAAUGAGUAUAUUCAUGCAAUAUUUAAAAUCCUGUGCUCAGUUGAACCUUUAUCUCCACUGACAAAUAUUCCCUGAAAAAUGGGUGAAAUCUAAAAGGGGAAUUGAAGGGUCAGAGGCAACUACAGGUGCCACAAAACUUACCCAAAAUGUUCUUAUCACAGAAACAACCUGCAAGGAUUUUACUCUUGCAGCUAUGCUCUAACUCUGUAAUGCUGCCAAAGUCCCUCUUAUAUUAUGGAAAAGGAGACAGAGGUGGGUGACAGAAAGUAGUAAGUUGUAAGUUUCCUUUAAAAAAUGUCCCCUGCAUUUUUAUGAGCAGUUUUGCCAUCUCAUCCGUUGCCUUACCUGGAAAGGUUGAAGAUGAGAUUGCAGCCUGUCAUCUCUUCUCAGAGCCAGCUAGUAAAUAAUGAAGUUAGAUUUUGGCUUGCUAACGGAAUUGACCCAAGGGGAAAGUUUUUGUUACAUGUUAAAAAGAAAGCAAAUAUUUCUUUGGUGAGGCAGGUUAGGAUCUCCUAACUCUUCAAAAUUGCUUCCUCCCUGAACUGCCACAUUUGUAACUCACUGUAUCCCCUUCCAUUCAUAAUCUAAACAUAACAACCCUUCUUUCAGCCACAAAUAAUAAUCCAAAAACCACAUCAGCCUCCCCCCCCCCCCCCUUACCCUGCACUCUGAGAUGGGGAUAGAAAGAAGUAAGCUAAUAAAACAGUGAGUUCUCUUCCUUCCUUCCUCUACCCCUCCCAUGUCAAUAGAUUUUGACAACAAACAUAAACAUCACAUAAUUCAAACAUGAAUUGAGCUAUUGGAGAACUCCCAUACUAAUGUAGGUGUUCCCUAUGAAAUGUGUUCACAUCCCAAAUCUUAUUCAGAACCUAGUCAUCUUGCUGGAAUUACAGCAAGACCUUAACCCACUCCCUGGGCUACAAUUUGAUUGCCAUUACUGGGGGCUACAAUUUCACAAAGGGUGUCUCAAAAUUUAAGCACAAUAACCCAGACCUGUUAACCUCAGUUCAAUGUUGAACCUUAUCCACAACCUAAGUAUAAUCCAGAGCAGCAUUUCAGCGUAGCUUCUGUGAACUAUCACUGAUUGCAGGCAUUUCUGAUCAGAGUCUUUCUGCUCUUUCUCCUCUUCUAUAACACAGACACAAGUGCACUCUUCCUCCCUCUCUCACUCUCUUCCACUCAUGAAAAAAACCCCCCACAAAUUAAUGGCAGUUAAGGAAGGAACUCAAUUCUGUCACAGUUCUGAACAAGGAAUAGAGAAGGGGAUUUUAUGAUUUCUGUGGAAAGAGAACAUGCUACAGGGAAGAACAUACUGCAAGAAAAAACAGAGAGGAAAAGUCAAUCAUCUGUUUUCUUCUGCCUUUUGGAGUACUUUGAACCACUGCUUUUGGACUGUCUUUAAACUGAUAUUUUUCUGAAUGCCUGUAUAAUCAUUUCACAGUUCAUGUACACACCUAAAUAAAGUCUAACGAAAGAAGGUCUAAAGAAAUGAGGUAUUUUUCCUUUAUGGAAUUCCCAGGGGAUUCUAAUCAUCAGACCAGU
Lagopus muta (rock ptarmigan) is the source of this 6070-nucleotide long non-coding RNA. RefSeq lists it as uncharacterized. The record is from RefSeq and is a predicted model, not a curated record. The transcript is spliced from 3 exons. Lineage: Eukaryota; Metazoa; Chordata; Aves; Galliformes; Phasianidae.